This 78-nucleotide transfer RNA is filed under the name Methanomassiliicoccales archaeon RumEn M1. RNAcentral's name for it is "tRNA-Pro". It matches the Rfam family "tRNA". From Rfam's summary of the family: Transfer RNA (tRNA) molecules are approximately 80 nucleotides in length. Lineage: Archaea; Methanobacteriati; Thermoplasmatota; Thermoplasmata; Methanomassiliicoccales. The record is from RNAcentral.
GGGGCCGUGGGGUAGCUUGGUCCAUCCUUCGCGGUUCGGGACCUCGAGACGCCAGUUCAAAUCUGGCCGGCCCCACCA